CAGGCCUUGACAUCCAAUGAACUUUCUAGAGAUAGAUUGGUGCCUUCGGGAACAUUGAGACAGGUGCUGCAUGGCUGUCGUCAGCUCGUGUCGUGAGAUGUUGGGUUAAGUCCCGUAACGAGCGCAACCCUUGUCCUUAGUUACCAGCACGUUAUGGUGGGCACUCUAAGGAGACUGCCGGUGACAAACCGGAGGAAGGUGGGGAUGACGUCAAGUCGCGAGGUGGAGCUAAUCCCAUAAAACCGAUCGUAGUCCGGAUCGCAGUCUGCAACUCGACUGCGUGAAGUCGGAAUCGCUAGUAAUCGUGAAUCAGAAUGUCACGGUGAAUACGUUCCC
RNAcentral lists this ribosomal RNA (336 nucleotides) under uncultured Pseudomonas sp. RNAcentral's name for it is "bacterial SSU rRNA". It matches the Rfam family "Bacterial small subunit ribosomal RNA", at positions 975 to 1375 of the family's 1533-position model. Lineage: Bacteria; Pseudomonadati; Pseudomonadota; Gammaproteobacteria; Pseudomonadales; Pseudomonadaceae. The record is from RNAcentral.